UAGAAAGCACUAAAGUAGUUU
This 21-nucleotide non-coding RNA is filed under the name Caenorhabditis elegans. Lineage: Eukaryota; Metazoa; Nematoda; Chromadorea; Rhabditida; Rhabditidae. The record is from RNAcentral.